UCAGAUCUGUAUGGAUGCCACUUGGGUCAUUUGUCAUUUCACUUGAAGGCAAAGAAAUGUUUUUAACUGGGAUAAGAUUAGCUGCCGAGGUGGAGCUGAUAUCUGAGCGAGGCUCUCGAGGACACAUUCUGGAUAGAUCUCCAUAUGGGAGUUGGAUGACUGCCACCAGCCAGUCUUGGCAGUCCCCAGAAUUCUUCUGAAGUGGACAGUGGAAGAAGUGAAACAUUUGCCUGGCAGCUGGCAUCAAUGCAGUCUCUCUCUGGACAUGCAGAAGAAAAGGUUCAAAAGGAACUGAACCCAAACCAGUCUUUAUUUGGUAAAUAUCCCAGCUUCACGGUAGAAGAGCAGGCAUGGGGGAAAUAAAAGAAAACCCGCCUUUUUCAGGCCAGGGGGCAGGGAAGAGAAGCAGAGAGGAAUAAAGGGAGGAGGCCCCGGGGUGUCAGCAGAGAGGGGAGAGCUGCCAGGCUGUGGCCCCACGCCAGCCUCUGCCAUAGGGCUGUGUAAUCCUGGGGAAGGCGUUCAACCUCUGUGCCUCAGUUUCUUCACCUAUUAAAUGUGAGUGAUAA
Molecule: long non-coding RNA, 566 nt
Filed under: Homo sapiens (human)
Lineage: Eukaryota; Metazoa; Chordata; Mammalia; Primates; Hominidae
Description: HSALNT0114593
Source: RNAcentral